UAACCCGGCCGGGCAGAAACGCGCGCGUGCCCGGUUUUUGAAUCGCGGUUCGAAGGAAGGAUCAAAAAAGUAAGACGGAAGUUAUCCACGGUGCUGGUUUAGGUUUAGGGGGUUUGGAUUUAGGAGAGUGCGUGAGGGAGGCGGCGGCGGGCGAUCGAUCGUCGGGCGUGCGGCGGUUGGUGGGCGGCAGAGGUCGUGCGGCAGUGGACAGAGGAAAUAGGAGGACGUGGGGGUGACGAAUCCGGGGCUUGUGAAGAUUGGGAUCGAGCACGCGACCUCAAGCCCCUCUCCGGUUCCGCGCCACCACCUGCGGCGGUAGGGAGAGUCUAGGCCCCGAUUCUCUCCCUCCCUCCCUCCCUCUCCACCCAGUGGACGCUCUUUCUCGUGAGCGUGGGAGCGAGCAGUCGGCAGUGGGUCCUCGGCGGUGGUGGCGGCGGUGCGGUCCCCGAAGGAGGCUAGACGCGAGUGACCAAACAAACUUCUUCCUAGAUCGGCAACUGACAACCACGAAGGGGAGGGGCCCGCGGUACUGAACCCUAUCAUGAAGAUAGGUCGUUCGUUGCAAAACCUACACUCGAGGUCGAGUUCGUCUCGUAGUUUUUGUCCCCGAGAUAGACGAUUACCCCGUCGGCUGUUACGUCAGAUUCUCGAUGUAGAGUACACUAAAGACCUAUACUCUUGAACUCUUCUUGUUCGAACUACGAUAAUAACUUUUUUUAUUAGAUACGAUGUCCUAAGAAGAAACGUAGGGUAUGUGAAUCUGCCUCACCCUCCGACGGCGUCGCCACGACCUGAGCCUCGGGUUCGGUAGGCGGCGGCGGUUGUUCAACGUGGAGAAGCGCCUUUAGUGGUGUUGACACUACACGACUGUCAGCCUACGGAAGUCUUAACCGAGAAUUUUGAAAGUUGGUUCUAAUCUCGAUCGUAUGUCAAACGUCAAAUAUCAGCAUGAGUAUGAGUUACUCAGGGAUGGAGCCGAAGACCCGUUCUAUAAGAAAUUAAAAUCAACUAAUCGUUGGUGAUAACAAGUCCUUAAAACUCAUCGCGCGUAGAACCAGACCGCUCGGCCACUGGCCUGUAGUAAACAGUUCCUUCGUUUUUCCUGAUGUGAGUGUUCCUUGGUACUUCGGUUGCUUGGUGCAGUUGAUCUACAAAAUCGAAAGUAAAACAUGUUGACUACAGAGUAUGAACGUGGAAAACUGAUAGGAAAACAUUUGGACUACAUACCAAGGAGCCACCAAAACAAAUCUUGUCUAACUUCACAUACAUACACGGUUAAUCAAUUACCUUAUUUUUUACAAACCACGAGGG
RNAcentral lists this ribosomal RNA (1311 nucleotides) under Triticum aestivum (bread wheat). RNAcentral's name for it is "partial small subunit ribosomal RNA". The record is from RNAcentral. Lineage: Eukaryota; Viridiplantae; Streptophyta; Magnoliopsida; Poales; Poaceae.